Molecule: transfer RNA, 74 nt
Filed under: Acidimicrobiia bacterium
Lineage: Bacteria; Bacillati; Actinomycetota; Acidimicrobiia
Also listed under: 1 other name
Description: tRNA-Ala
Rfam family: tRNA
About the family: Transfer RNA (tRNA) molecules are approximately 80 nucleotides in length. Their secondary structure includes four short double-helical elements and three loops (D, anti-codon, and T loops).
Source: RNAcentral
GGGGCUGUAGCUCAGUCUGGUAGAGCGCCUCCAUGGCAUGGAGGAAGUCGUGGGUUCGAGUCCCAUCAGCUCCA